CUUUGUCAGUUCAGCAUCCUCUUAAUCAAGCGAGUUAAACGUACAGAAUAUACGUAGACUCGCAAGAAGUUUCACUCAAUCAAAUAGUAGAAGUAUAAUCACAGAUUAAUAUAAGUAUCAUAGAUACAAAGUAUCACAGAUUUGAUGUAAAUGAUAUACAAAAUAAAUGUAACAAUAUAAGCCACAACUCUUCACUACACAAUACACGAUAUACGCAUUAAUAACGAAAACCAACGAAUGCAGCGCACAGCGUGGCAGAAACACAUGCGCGAUUUUUGUUUCGCGUAAGUCGCGCCCGCGUAGCGCUUGUCAUCUUUUAGUUAGAAAGACAAAAACGAGCGACGCUUAACGAAAGUGAGACAGGCCACGCCAUGAAAGACGAUAUGUCCAAGAAGAAUAAUCUAUGCAGCAAAUGUUGCAAAACAUAAUGCUAGUGCAACAGCAGUUGCAACAACAAAUGUUGCAACUGCAGCAGCAUCAAUUGCAGCAGCAGCAGUAUCAACAGCAGCAGCAGGAGAUGCAGAACAAUUCGACUAAAAACACAGAAGAGAAGCUGGCCGCAACAGAGCCCACGGCGUUAAAAAUAUUAACAAUAAUAUUUUUGCCUACUUUCUAAGACUUUGUUAAAACAUAUAUAAUUAAAUAUUGUCUCUUUAAAAUCUGUAAUUUCUGUCAAAAAGAUUUCAACUCUAAACAAAAAUAUUACAAAAUUCUGGGAAAGAAAGUUUUUUUUAUUCAU
This is a long non-coding RNA of Pseudomyrmex gracilis, 739 nucleotides long. RefSeq lists it as uncharacterized. The record is from RefSeq and is a predicted model, not a curated record. Lineage: Eukaryota; Metazoa; Arthropoda; Insecta; Hymenoptera; Formicidae. The transcript has 3 exons.